Molecule: ribosomal RNA, 1465 nt
Filed under: Staphylococcus saprophyticus
Lineage: Bacteria; Bacillati; Bacillota; Bacilli; Caryophanales; Staphylococcaceae
Description: bacterial SSU rRNA
Rfam family: Bacterial small subunit ribosomal RNA
Source: RNAcentral
GGGAAAUUGGCCGUGGUGCUAUACAUGCAGUCGAGCGAACAGAUAAGGAGCUUGCUCCUUUGACGUUAGCGGCGGACGGGUGAGUAACACGUGGGUAACCUACCUAUAAGACUGGGAUAACUUCGGGAAACCGGAGCUAAUACCGGAUAACAUUUGGAACCGCAUGGUUCUAAAGUGAAAGAUGGUUUUGCUAUCACUUAUAGAUGGACCCGCGCCGUAUUAGCUAGUUGGUAAGGUAACGGCUUACCAAGGCGACGAUACGUAGCCGACCUGAGAGGGUGAUCGGCCACACUGGAACUGAGACACGGUCCAGACUCCUACGGGAGGCAGCAGUAGGGAAUCUUCCGCAAUGGGCGAAAGCCUGACGGAGCAACGCCGCGUGAGUGAUGAAGGGUUUCGGCUCGUAAAACUCUGUUAUUAGGGAAGAACAAACGUGUAAGUAACUGUGCACGUCUUGACGGUACCUAAUCAGAAAGCCACGGCUAACUACGUGCCAGCAGCCGCGGUAAUACGUAGGUGGCAAGCGUUAUCCGGAAUUAUUGGGCGUAAAGCGCGCGUAGGCGGUUUCUUAAGUCUGAUGUGAAAGCCCACGGCUCAACCGUGGAGGGUCAUUGGAAACUGGGAAACUUGAGUGCAGAAGAGGAAAGUGGAAUUCCAUGUGUAGCGGUGAAAUGCGCAGAGAUAUGGAGGAACACCAGUGGCGAAGGCGACUUUCUGGUCUGUAACUGACGCUGAUGUGCGAAAGCGUGGGGAUCAAACAGGAUUAGAUACCCUGGUAGUCCACGCCGUAAACGAUGAGUGCUAAGUGUUAGGGGGUUUCCGCCCCUUAGUGCUGCAGCUAACGCAUUAAGCACUCCGCCUGGGGAGUACGACCGCAAGGUUGAAACUCAAAGGAAUUGACGGGGACCCGCACAAGCGGUGGAGCAUGUGGUUUAAUUCGAAGCAACGCGAAGAACCUUACCAAAUCUUGACAUCCUUUGAAAACUCUAGAGAUAGAGCCUUCCCCUUCGGGGGACAAAGUGACAGGUGGUGCAUGGUUGUCGUCAGCUCGUGUCGUGAGAUGUUGGGUUAAGUCCCGCAACGAGCGCAACCCUUAAGCUUAGUUGCCAUCAUUAAGUUGGGCACUCUAGGUUGACUGCCGGUGACAAACCGGAGGAAGGUGGGGAUGACGUCAAAUCAUCAUGCCCCUUAUGAUUUGGGCUACACACGUGCUACAAUGGACAAUACAAAGGGCAGCUAAACCGCGAGGUCAUGCAAAUCCCAUAAAGUUGUUCUCAGUUCGGAUUGUAGUCUGCAACUCGACUACAUGAAGCUGGAAUCGCUAGUAAUCGUAGAUCAGCAUGCUACGGUGAAUACGUUCCCGGGUCUUGUACACACCGCCCGUCACACCACGAGAGUUUGUAACACCCGAAGCCGGUGGAGUAACCAUUUAUGGAGCUAGCCGUCGUAAGGUGAACAAAAGGGG